CUCGUAGGCGGCUCAGUAAGUCGGGUGUGAAACCCUCAGGCUCAACCCUGGGGACGCCACUCGAUACUGCUGUGGCUAGAGUCCAGUAGGGGAGUGUGGAAUUCCCGGUGUAGCGGUGAAAUGCGCAGAUAUCGGGAGGAACACCAGCGGCGAAGGCGGCACUCUGGGCUGGUACUGACGCUGAGGAGCGAAAGCGUGGGUAGCAAACA
This 209-nucleotide ribosomal RNA is filed under the name uncultured bacterium. RNAcentral describes it as "partial 16S ribosomal RNA". It matches the Rfam family "Bacterial small subunit ribosomal RNA", at positions 568 to 774 of the family's 1533-position model. The record is from RNAcentral.